RNAcentral lists this ribosomal RNA (662 nucleotides) under uncultured Lachnospiraceae bacterium. Its description in RNAcentral is "bacterial SSU rRNA". It matches the Rfam family "Bacterial small subunit ribosomal RNA", at positions 42 to 717 of the family's 1533-position model. Lineage: Bacteria; Bacillati; Bacillota; Clostridia; Lachnospirales; Lachnospiraceae. The record is from RNAcentral.
GCGCGCCUAACACAUGCAAGUCGAACGGAGCUUAGAGAGCUUGCUUUUUAAGCUUAGUGGCGAACGGGUGAGUAACGCGUGAGUAACCUGCCCUAGAGUGGGGGACAACAGUUGGUAACGACUGCUAAUACCGCAUAAGCCCACGGUGCCGCAUGACACUGAGGGAAAAGGAUUUAUUCGCUUUAGGAUGGACUCGCGUCCAAUUAGCUAGUUGGUGAGGUAACGGCCCACCAAGGCGACGAUUGGUAGCCGGACUGAGAGGUUGAACGGCCACAUUGGGACUGAGACACGGCCCAGACUCCUACGGGAGGCAGCAGUGGGGGAUAUUGCACAAUGGGGGAAACCCUGAUGCAGCGACGCCGCGUGGAGGAAGAAGGUUUUCGGAUUGUAAACUCCUGUCGUUAGGGACGAUAAUGACGGUACCUAACAAGAAAGCACCGGCUAACUACGUGCCAGCAGCCGCGGUAAAACGUAGGGUGCAAGCGUUGUCCGGAAUUACUGGGUGUAAAGGGAGCGCAGGCGGGAAGACAAGUUGGAAGUGAAAACCAUGGGCUCAACCCAUGAAUUGCUUUCAAAACUGUUUUUCUUGAGUAGUGCAGAGGUAGAUGGAAUUCCCGGUGUAGCGGUGGAAUGCGUAGAUAUCGGGAGGAACACCAGUGGCG